This 543-nucleotide long non-coding RNA is filed under the name Equus asinus (donkey). Its description in RNAcentral is "lncRNA (ENSEASG00005023668.1)". The record is from RNAcentral. Lineage: Eukaryota; Metazoa; Chordata; Mammalia; Perissodactyla; Equidae.
AUGGGGUUCAGCUGACUCUUGACUCUCCUGCGGAGAGAGAGGGCACCAGGGUGCUCGAGGUGUCCGCUCCCCAGCCUGGGCCAACUACUCGCUUUGUUUCUCACUCAGAGCCACCCUGGCCAUUUCAGAUGCAGCCAGCCUAGGGGCUUAGCCCAGAGGCAGCUGUGGGGCGUGGGCCUGGCAGCAGGCAGGCUGGCCAGUGGGCGGGCAGACAGGCAGCAGGAGAACACUCGAGAAUUAACCUCGACCAGGACUAGGCGUCCCCUCAGAGGACGCAAGGAUCACGGACAUCUCCUCUCCUGCCUUUUGAAGAUUUAGACAUGGCUCGAGAGCACAAGCCCGGCCCUGCCCAGCCAAGCCAGAAGAGGCAGCGGGGCAUAGCCAUCUCCUGCCCAGGUGGUCUGCCACAGAUCCCUGCGCUUUGACCGGAUGCUGCCAAGUUCUUGGACCAGUCGCGGGAGCGAGGAUGGAGAUCCAGACGAGCAAGGCUUUUCCCCCGAGUGGUCGUGUUCAGCUGAGGCUCGUCACCUUGAGUCUGUCCUA